Molecule: small nuclear RNA, 105 nt
Filed under: Cervus hanglu yarkandensis (Yarkand deer)
Lineage: Eukaryota; Metazoa; Chordata; Mammalia; Artiodactyla; Cervidae
Source: RNAcentral
GUGCUUGCUUUGGCAGCACAUAUACUAAAAUUGGAACGAUACAGAGAAGAUUAGCAUGGCCCCUGCGUAAGGAUGACACAAAUUCGUGAAGCGUUCCAUAGUUUU